RNAcentral lists this ribosomal RNA (460 nucleotides) under uncultured bacterium. RNAcentral's name for it is "partial 16S ribosomal RNA". It matches the Rfam family "Bacterial small subunit ribosomal RNA", at positions 338 to 795 of the family's 1533-position model. The record is from RNAcentral.
CCUACGGGGGGCAGCAGUGAGGAAUAUUGGUCAAUGGGCGUAAGCCUGAACCAGCCAAGUCGCGUGAGGGAUGAAGGUUCUAUGGAUCGUAAACCUCUUUUAUAAGGGAACAAAGUGUGGGUCGUGUCCUGUUUUGUAUGUACCUUAUGAAUAAGGAUCGGCUAACUCCGUGCCAGCAGCCGCGGUAAUACGGAGGAUCCGAGCGUUAUCCGGAUUUAUUGGGUUUAAAGGGUGCGUAGGCGGGCUUGUAAGUCAGCGGUGAAAGUCUGUGGCUCAACCAUUGAAUUGCCGUUGAAACUGGGGGGCUUGAGUAUGUGUGAGGCAGGCGGAAUGCGUGGUGUAGCGGUGAAAUGCUUAGAUAUCACGCAGAACCCCGAUUGCGAAGGCAGCCUGCCGGGCCAUAACUGACGCUGAUGCACGAAAGCGUGGGGAUCAAACAGGAUUAGAUACCCUUGUAGUC